Molecule: ribosomal RNA, 253 nt
Filed under: uncultured Ohtaekwangia sp.
Lineage: Bacteria; Pseudomonadati; Bacteroidota; Cytophagia; Cytophagales; Fulvivirgaceae
Description: partial 16S ribosomal RNA
Rfam family: Bacterial small subunit ribosomal RNA
Source: RNAcentral
UACGUAGGUGGCGAGCGUUGUCCGGAUUUAUUGGGUUUAAAGGGUGCGUAGGCGGUCUGUUAAGUCAGUGCUGAAAUAUCCCAGCUUAACUGGGAGGGUGGCAUUGAUACUGAUGGACUUGAGUAAAGUUGAGGUUGGCGGAAUUGACGGUGUAGCGGUGAAAUGCUUAGAUAUCGUCAAGAACACCUAUUGCGAAGGCAGCUAACUAAGCUUUAACUGACGCUGAGGCACGAAAGUGUGGGGAUCAAACAGG